RNAcentral lists this ribosomal RNA (508 nucleotides) under uncultured bacterium. RNAcentral's name for it is "partial 16S ribosomal RNA". It matches the Rfam family "Bacterial small subunit ribosomal RNA", at positions 28 to 523 of the family's 1533-position model. The record is from RNAcentral.
GAUGAACGCUAGCUACAGGCUUAACACAUGCAAGUCGAGGGGAAACGAUAGAGAAAGCUCGCUUUUUCUAGGCGUCGACCGGCGCACGGGUGAGUAACGCGUAUCCAACCUGCCCACCACUUGGGGAUAACCUUGCGAAAGUAAGACUACUACCCAAUGAUAUCUCAAGAAGACAUCUGAAUGAGACUAAAGAUUUAUCGGUGAUGGAUGGGGAUGCGUCUGAUUAGCUUGUUGGCGGGGUAACGGCCCACCAAGGCGACGAUCAGUAGGGGUUCUGAGAGGAAGGUCCCCCACAUUGGAACUGAGACACGGUCCAAACUCCUACGGGAGGCAGCAGUGAGGAAUAUUGGUCAAUGGGCGAGAGCCUGAACCAGCCAAGUAGCGUGCAGGAUGACGGCCCUAUGGGUUGUAAACUGCUUUUAUAAGGGAAUAAAGUGAGUCUCGUGAGACUUUUUGCAUGUACCUUAUGAAUAAGGACCGGCUAAUUCCGUGCCAGCCGCCGCAGUAA